GAUGAACGCUAGCUACAGGCUUAACACAUGCAAGUCGAGGGGAAACGACAUCGAAAGCUUGCUUUUGAUGGGCGUCGACCGGCGCACGGGUGAGUAACGCGUAUCCAACCUGCCCACCACUUGGGGAUAACCUUGCGAAAGUAAGACUAAUACCCAAUGACGUCUCUAGAAGACAUCUGAAAGAGAUUAAAGAUUUAUCGGUGAUGGAUGGGGAUGCGUCUGAUUAGCUUGUUGGCGGGGUAACGGCCCACCAAGGCGACGAUCAGUAGGGGUUCUGAGAGGAAGGUCCCCCACAUUGGAACUGAGACACGGUCCAAACUCCUACGGGAGGCAGCAGUGAGGAAUAUUGGUCAAUGGACGAGAGUCUGAACCAGCCAAGUAGCGUGCAGGAUGACGGCCCUAUGGGUUGUAAACUGCUUUUAUAAGGGAAUAAAGUGAGUCUCGUGAGACUUUUUGCAUGUACCUGAUGAAUAAGGACCGGCUAAUUCCGUG
RNAcentral lists this ribosomal RNA (492 nucleotides) under uncultured bacterium. Its description in RNAcentral is "partial 16S ribosomal RNA". It matches the Rfam family "Bacterial small subunit ribosomal RNA", at positions 28 to 507 of the family's 1533-position model. The record is from RNAcentral.